UACAGAGGUCCCAAGCGUUGUUCGGAUUCACUGGGCGUAAAGGGUGCGUAGGUGGUUGGGUAAGUCUGAUGUGAAAUCUCGAAGCUCAACUUCGAAACGGCAUUGGAUACUAUUCAGCUAGAGGAUCGGAGGGGGGACUGGAAUUCUCGGUGUAGCAGUGAAAUGCGUAGAUAUCGAGAGGAACACCAGUGGCGAAGGCGAGUCCCUGGACGACUCCUGACACUGAGGCACGAAAGCCAGGGGAG
RNAcentral lists this ribosomal RNA (245 nucleotides) under uncultured bacterium. RNAcentral's name for it is "partial 16S ribosomal RNA". It matches the Rfam family "Bacterial small subunit ribosomal RNA", at positions 524 to 768 of the family's 1533-position model. The record is from RNAcentral.